UACGAAGGGGGCUAGCGUUGCUCGGAAUCACUGGGCGUAAAGGGUGCGUAGGCGGGUCUUUAAGUCAGGGGUGAAAUCCUGGAGCUCAACUCCAGAACUGCCUUUGAUACUGAAGAACUUGAGUUCGGGAGAGGUGAGUGGAACUGCGAGUGUAGAGGUGAAAUUCGUAGAUAUUCGCAAGAACACCAGUGGCGAAGGCGGCUCACUGGCCCGAUACUGACGCUGAGGCACGAAAGCGUGGGGAGCAAACGGG
RNAcentral lists this ribosomal RNA (253 nucleotides) under uncultured bacterium. RNAcentral describes it as "partial 16S ribosomal RNA". It matches the Rfam family "Bacterial small subunit ribosomal RNA", at positions 524 to 776 of the family's 1533-position model. The record is from RNAcentral.